Microcebus murinus (gray mouse lemur) is the source of this 979-nucleotide non-coding RNA. Lineage: Eukaryota; Metazoa; Chordata; Mammalia; Primates; Cheirogaleidae. The record is from RefSeq and is a predicted model, not a curated record.
GCUCAGCAUCCUACUACUUGUUCCAAAAUGUUAAAUGUCAACCACCAUUAUCCUCUCCUUCUUACUGUACCCUUCAGUAUUUUAACAGUUUUUCUGUAGGCAAGAAUUUCAAGAUGCGUGUAUCUUGAAGUUUGGGGCAACUGAGUGUGAUUAUUUUUUUCCAGAACAAUGGCAACCAAUUCUCUGUGGUGAGACUAUUAUCAUAAAAUUGAGAGUGGCCCAAACUGUUGGAGCCCAAGCUGCCCUAAAACUUUACAAAUGAGAAGGAAGUGGCUGUCUCGACCAGAAACAAUGGAGGUAGCAGAUGGAAUUGAGAUCACCACUAUUACAUUUCUGGUUGGCAGUGAAUUUUGUGUUAGAGAUAAGUUUAAAGUGCUUUUGUGCACAUAAUUUCAUCGGCAUCCCAACCUUGUGAAAUCGUUGAUUAUUUGAAUUUUGUACAUGAGAACUCUUAAGACUAAAGUCUCUCAAGGUGAUUCAGCUGGCAAAUGGAGUACUACGCAGCAACAAAAAGGAUGGGUUAUUUUGCAGGAAUUUGGAUGAAACUGGAGAUCAUUAUCCUAAGUGAAGUAUCUCGAGAAUGGAAAAACAAAUACCACAGAGCUGAAGAUCUGGAUUUUCUGUUUAUAUUGUCUCAAUCCUUUACUGAAUCUGACUGCUCUUACGACCAGUAAUGAAGUGCACUAAUCAUUCCAGUGCACCAGAGAAGCCAGUGGUGCAAAACACAUUGGCCUUCUGAACUCCAACAAUUAUUUUGAACAACUCUGGGCUAGCUGUUGAAAAUGGAGACCACUUGAAAGAGAGCCAAGCUGUCCAGAGACAUCCUAGUCCAGCCGGGCCCCAGCCAGCCCCCAGCUGACCCCCCAGCUGACCACAGCUGCGUAAGCACACCCAGCUGAGAACAGCUGAGCCGGGCACAGACCAGAGAACCCACCAGCUGACCUGUAGGCUUAUGAGAGAAAUAAUAAAUGGUUGUAUU